CUGUAGCGGCGGCAAUAUAAUGGCUGUUAACAAUUGUCAAUUAAAUCUGAAUUCGGCAACGAUUCAGCAGGACUUGAAUACAGCCGCCAUUUAUAAUCUAACAGGACAUCGUGCUGCUGCUGCUGCUUGCGGUAGCAAUAGUGGAAUUAUCGAAACAAAUUGUCGUCUAUUAUCGGACAUCUCCAAGUCCAGUCAAGUCGGUCCAAAUAACAGUCAGCAACAGCAACAACAGCAACUGACAACUGUUGCUGGUGUCGGCAACAAUAGUAAUAAUGGUUGCAGUAACAACAGUAGCAUUAUCAAUGGCAGCAGCCAAAGCAUCAUUACUCUGGCCAAUUCUCAUGGUCUAACACUCGGCUCAUCGAAUAAUCCCUCUGCCUAUAUGCAUGACAAAAGUCUGUUGGGGGCGGUUGGGGUUAGUGUCGGCGUCGGUAUCAACGUCAGUUGUAUCGAUAAUAGAAAAUACGAUUACAAGAACAAUAAUCUGUUAUCGAACAGUAAUUUUCAACAAGCAUCCCAAGAGUAUGUUUCGACUGGCAACAACAGUUCUGGAAACAGUCGUUCAAAUCAACAAAGUGGAAUUUAUCGUGGACCACAGGCAGCAUCAAAUCCGCCCCGUGGCAACGGCACUGGCGGUGGAGCCCGUGCCCCCCAUGUUCAUAUGCCACCGAUGUACCCGAAUAUGGUAUUGCAGAAUUACCCACAAUAUGGCCAGCGACAACCAGCGUAUCCGGCGCCACAUUUACAAUAUACGCACACGCCCAUACCCUAUUAUACCUAUCCAUAUCUCUCCCCAUUGCCACAGCAACAGCCGCCGCCGCAUUCACGCAGUGGUGUUGCGGUUAACACAAACUUAGGCAAUACAAUGCAAUCUGUGCAGCCCGGUGGACCCAAUGGACCGCUGGCUGGUCCUGGUGGUGCGACACCAUCUCAAUUACAAUUGCUAACAGGUGCUGUACAGCCAGGCGCUAAUACAGUUAUUGGUGUUGGUGGAACAGCGAGUGGUCAAGUGGGUGUGGGUGUCAACGUUAGUGUUCCGCCAAUGGUUGGUGUUAUGUCAUCUAAUGUGACGCCACAACCUGUGCCAGUGCCGCAGCCUAGUAGGCGGCGACACCAGCAUCGUUUACAGAUUAUCGAUCCGACAACAAAAAAGAACAUACUCGAUGAACUGGAUAAGAGUAAUGUGAGUACGGAGAGUGACUAUCAAGAAGCAGGAGCUGCUGCUGCUACUGCGAUUGCACCUGCUGCUCCGUCGUUAACGACAUCAGCUGUCGUCGCGCAUCCAGAUGCCUCAAUGUGCAUCACCCAGCCAGAUGCUGGCGGCAUCUGUUUACCCCCCAGCAGCGUGUUAAUUCAAGGCCCAGAUGCGAGGCCCAAUAUCCAGUAUAAAUUAGAUCAAAUUCCCGCUCAACGCCAGGAUAUAAUUGUUGGACAGACUCCAGUGGUCUCAGCCAUGUCUGAUGCACCAUCUGUAGAAAUAUUGCCGAGUUCCCAGAAAAAUAAAAGUAAAAAAAUUCCAAUAGUCUCCCCGAAAGAUGCACCCGAGUCUUCGUCGUCGUCUGCCUUCUCUUCGUUCAAAGUGGAUGAUGUUUCUAAAACAAGCGUCGAAAGUGCGAACGAGCCCAAUCAACAUUUACAGUCAGACUUUGUUGCACAAGAAGAAGAAGAAGAAGAACAACAACAUCGACAAAAGUCACAGCAACAGCCGCAGCAGCAGCAACAGGAAUCACAUUCACCGUUUAUGGCGGCAAACACAGCGGAACAGCAAAUUGUCGACAUAGUCGAAGUAGGUGACAGCUCAGAAGCGGUUCAGCAGCAACAGCAACAGCAACAGCAACAGAACAACAACGAACAAGGACUUACAGUAAUUGCAGUCGAAGUGGACUCAACGGCAGAGAAUGUCGAGCUGAGCUCGACUGGUACCGCAACAAGUGAAGUUUCUGUAUUGCCUGACAACGUAUCUAGCAUGUAUAUAACUGAGCCAAGUCUCUCAACUAAUUUAAGCGAAACUGUAGCUGAUGGCCAGGUGGAAGGGGAGGAGGCACAACGUAUUGUUGUCCCAGUAGUAACUAGCUCACAUGAAAGCACACCCGAUGAGACUGAUCGAGCCCAACAAAUGCCAGACUUGGAAGCGACACCGAUUGGGGAAAAUGUGAAAGAAGAAAAUGAGAGAAAUGAAACAUUAACGAAAACGAUAUCAACGAAUAGCUUGGCAACAGCAGAGGAUGCCAAGGAAGUCAAGGAUGCGGAUAUAGGAAAAGUAGUGGAGCCAAAAAAAACGGAGACAUCAGCCGCUGAUGAACAACAAGAAGCUAUCGCCGAUGGUGUUGCAAUGGAAACCUCGGAAAUCGCGGCAUCGUUGAUCAACUACAAUGAAGGUCAAUGGUCACCGAGUAAUCCAAGUGGUAAGAAGCAAUACGAUCGCGAGCAACUAUUGCAGUUGCGAGAGGCGAAGGCUUCACGUAUUCAACCCGAAGUGAAAAAUGUCUCAAUAUUGCCGCACCCAAACCUAAUGCCUAUGUUUAUGCGUAAUAGCAAUAAUAAUAACAACAAUAAUAACAAUAAGCGGGUGCAAUCGAUGGUUGGCAUUGGUGGCAGUCGAAAUAGUGAAUCGAUUGGUAAUAAUUUUGGUGGCAAGCAAGCUUCAAUGUCCGGUGUUCAAGGCGGCGGCGGCGGUCGCAGCAGCAUGAAAGGUAUGAUCCAUGUCAACCUAUCACUUAACCAAGAUGUUAAACUGAAUGAGACGGAAAAUGCCUGGCGACCACGUUUACAAAAUAAUAAGCACCAACAGGACUCGACGAGCGGCAGUAACUCCGAUGGUAACAAAUCAAUCCAUGAAAAAGACGAGCUUGUCCGUAAAGUGCGUGGAAUUUUAAACAAGCUAACGCCAGAAAGAUUUGACACGUUGGUUGAGGAGAUAAUUAAACUCAAGAUCGAUACCCCCGAGAAAAUGGAUGAGGUAAUUGUGCUUGUCUUUGAGAAGGCUAUCGAUGAACCAAAUUUUUCCGUAUCAUAUGCAAGACUGUGCCAUCGCCUGAUAAGCGAAGUUAAGGCACGCGAUGAGCGCAUGGAAAGUGGCACAAAAUCGAACUUACAACAUUUCCGUAACGCACUACUCGAUAAGACGGAAAAAGAAUUCACACAAAAUGUCUCGCAAGGCGCGGCAAAAGAGAGGAAACUACAGCCGAUUAUUGAGAAGAUAAAAAAAUGUAAUGAUCCCAAUGAAAAGGCUGAGCUGGAAGCACUGCUCGAAGAGGAGGAGCGCAAAAUACGUCGUCGUUCCGGCGGGACUGUGCGUUUCAUUGGUGAACUUUUUAAAAUCUCAAUGUUAACUGGAAAGAUUAUAUACUCUUGUAUCGAUACGCUGCUGAAUCCGCAAUCGGAAGAUAUGCUAGAAUGUCUGUGCAAGCUACUAACAACAGUUGGAGCUAAAUUUGAGCAGACGCCAGUUAGUGCGAAGGAGCCCGGUCGUUGCUAUUCUCUGGAGAAGUUAAUAGGUAGAAUGCAAGCAAUUGCAUCUAAAACUGAUAAGGAUGCCGCCAAAGUUAGUUCCCGAGUGCGAUUUAUGCUUCAGGACGUUAUCGAUUUGCGCAAAAACAAGUGGCAAUCGACCCGGAAUGAGGCUCCUAAGACAAUGGGGCAAAUUGAAAAGGAGGCUAAAAAUGAACAGUUAUCUGCACAAUAUAUGAACUAUAGCAGCUCAAUAUCGACGACAACGUCAACAUCCAGUCCCAACGGAGGUGGAAGUGGCGGUGCCGGCAAACGUGAUGCACGGUUCGGCGACGCGCGUUCAUCUGGCGGUUAUGGUGGCAGUCAUAGUCAACGCGGCGGCGAUGGUGUUAGUAGUAUGCGACAUCAGCAAUCAAACAGCGGCACUGGCAGCGGCAGCGGGGCUGGUGGCAGUGGCAAUGGCAAUCAUUCAAAUGGAAACAAUGACGACAAUACGUGGCAUGUUCAGACUAGCAAGGGCAGCCGCUCCCAAGCUGUGGAUAGCAUCAAGCUAGAGGGUUUGCACCCAUUGCAAAUUUGAGUUUAUUAUAUCAUGUCCUAGGAUUAUGGUCUUCUCAGCUGUAAGUAACGGAUGGAAGGCUGCGUAGUUCAGCCCAAUAAGUACAUAUAUUAUUGAUCAAGACGGAGGUUCCUAUAUAGCUGUAUUUCAGUUUACCGUAUAAAUUUAUACAUGUUCCAGUGCAUGGCUCAUUCUACUUUUCAAUCGAACAUAAUUCAUAAUUGUACUUGUAUUGUACUUGAGUGCCAUAGAAAGAUUUAGUAUGGAGUUUUUCAUUUUAUAAGAAUUCAUUCCAUGUUUUAUGCGGGCCGAAGCAGAAAAUCCUCAUAGAAAAAGAAAGACCAAUUUCCCAUAGGAGAACGUAUAACAAAAUUCAGUCGUGUAGAAAGGGAACGGAUAAAUAUGUGGGAGCGCGUGGGCUUCCUUUUAUGCUCUGUAUUAUAACUGUCUAUGGUCGCAGGGUAUCUGCUUAAAAAAAAAUUGAAUUCGCUAUAUUUGCAGACUUUACAGCUGAAUCAAAAUUUGGAUAACAAAAAGAUGGGCGGCGUUAAUCAGUUCAUUAACUGGAAUAACAAUGCCAUUAAACAAUCGUCGACAACGCCAACGACAACACCAUCAAAUUCAUUUGCUCCGCUCUCGUCAUUAAUUGACAAUAAAAGUAGCACGGAUCGAGACCGUAGUGGUGGCCCCAGAAAUAAAGGUUCAUAUCACAAAGGCUCCAUUGAGCG
This 4737-nucleotide unclassified non-coding RNA is filed under the name Drosophila mojavensis. RNAcentral describes it as "GI14106". Lineage: Eukaryota; Metazoa; Arthropoda; Insecta; Diptera; Drosophilidae. The record is from RNAcentral.